AUUGAACGCUGGCGGCAUGCCUUACACAUGCAAGUCGAACGGCAGCAUGAUCUAGCUUGCUAGAUUGAUGGCGAGUGGCGAACGGGUGAGUAAUACAUCGGAACGUGCCCUGUAGUGGGGGAUAACUAGUCGAAAGAUUAGCUAAUACCGCAUACGACCUGAGGGUGAAAGUGGGGGACCGCAAGGCCUCAUGCUAUAGGAGCGGCCGAUGUCUGAUUAGCUAGUUGGUGAGGUAAAGGCUCACCAAGGCGACGAUCAGUAGCUGGUCUGAGAGGACGAUCAGCCACACUGGGACUGAGACACGACCCAGACUCCUACGGGAGGCAGCAGUGGGGAAUUUUGGACAAUGGGUGAAAGCCUGAUCCAGCAAUGCCGCGUGUGUGAAGAAGGCCUUCGGGUUGUAAAGCACUUUUGUCCGGAAAGAAAUGGCUCUGGUUAAUACCUGGGGUCGAUGACGGUACCGGAAGAAUAAGGACCGGCUAACUACGUG
Molecule: ribosomal RNA, 490 nt
Filed under: uncultured bacterium
Lineage: Bacteria
Description: partial 16S ribosomal RNA
Rfam family: Bacterial small subunit ribosomal RNA
Source: RNAcentral